This is a long non-coding RNA of Etheostoma cragini (Arkansas darter), 115 nucleotides long. RefSeq lists it as uncharacterized. The record is from RefSeq and is a predicted model, not a curated record. Lineage: Eukaryota; Metazoa; Chordata; Actinopteri; Perciformes; Percidae. The transcript is spliced from 4 exons.
AAAUGUAACUCAGUUACAUGAUUUGUGAAAUAGCAAAGGGAGUGGGCGGGCAAGCCGGUGUGUCUUAAAGAAGUAUCCACGUACCUGACCUCAGGGGGACUCCGUACAUAUGGAA